AACGUGUGGCAGGGCCUUGUGGAGAAGGAGAAGCUGGUCUCUUUCAACCUUCCAUUUUAUGCGCCAUCUAUGGACGAAGUGAAGGCUGUGGUUGAGGAGAACAAUCUCUUCAAUGUGGAACACAUGAGUGUGUUUGAAUCAAGCUGGGAUCCACAAGACGACGACACAAACGAUGAUGUCGUGUUGGGCUGCAGCAGUAGUGGGUUGAAUGUUGCCAGGUGCAUAAGGGCGGUGGCGGAACCGCUGAUUAAGAAACACUUCGGAGAGGCCAUUCUUGAUGAUCUGUUUAUGGUUUAUGCCAGCAUGAUUUCAAAGCACCUCAAGAAAGCGAAGGCCAAGUAUCCUAUAAUUAUCAUCUAUUUGAAGGCCAAGCACUAA
This 378-nucleotide ribosomal RNA is filed under the name Triticum aestivum (bread wheat). RNAcentral describes it as "partial small subunit ribosomal RNA". The record is from RNAcentral. Lineage: Eukaryota; Viridiplantae; Streptophyta; Magnoliopsida; Poales; Poaceae.